GCGCCUCGUGAAUUCAUCUCCGGGGGUAGAGCACUGUUUCGGCAAGGGGGUCAUCCCGACUUACCAACCCGAUGCAAACUGCGAAUACCGGAGAAUGUUAUCACGGGAGACACACGGCGGGUGCUAACGUCCGUCGUGAAGAGGGAAACAACCCAGACCGCCAGCUAAGGUCCCAAAGUCAUGGUUAAGUGGGAAACGAUGUGGGAAGGCCCAGACAGCCAGGAUGUUGGCUUAGAAGCAGCCAUCAUUUAAAGAAAGCGUAAUAGCUCACUGGUCGAGUCGGCCUGCGCGGAAGAUGUAACGGGGCUAAACCAUGCACCGAAGCUGCGGCAGCGACGCUUAUGCGUUGUUGGGUAGGGGAGCGUUCUGUAAGCCUGUGAAGGUGUGCUGUGAGGCAUGCUGGAGGUAUCAGAAGUGCGAAUGCUGACAUAAGUAACGAUAAAGCGGGUGAAAAGCCCGCUCGCCGGAAGACCAAGGGUUCCUGUCCAACGUUAAUCGGGGCAGGGUGAGUCGACCCCUAAGGCGAGGCCGAAAGGCGUAGUCGAUGGGAAACAGGUUAAUAUUCCUGUACUUGGUGUUACUGCGAAGGGGGGACGGAGAAGGCUAUGUUGGCCGGGCGACGGUUGUCCCGGUUUAAGCGUGUAGGCUGGU
This 651-nucleotide ribosomal RNA is filed under the name Escherichia coli. RNAcentral describes it as "partial 23S ribosomal RNA". It matches the Rfam family "Bacterial large subunit ribosomal RNA", at positions 877 to 1529 of the family's 2925-position model. Lineage: Bacteria; Pseudomonadati; Pseudomonadota; Gammaproteobacteria; Enterobacterales; Enterobacteriaceae. The record is from RNAcentral.